UACGGAGGAUGUGAGCGUUAUCCGGAUUUAUUGGGUUUAAAGGGUGCGCAGGCGGCACGGCAAGCCGGCGGUCAAAUCGCGGGGCUCAACCCCGCCCAGCCGUCGGAACUGCCGGGCUAGAGUGGGCGAGAAGUGCGCGGAAUGCGUGGUGUAGCGGUGAAAUGCAUAGAUAUCACGCAGAACUCCGAUUGCGAAGGCAGCGCACCGGCGCCCUACUGACGCUCAGGCACGAAAGUGUGGGUAUCGAACAGG
This 252-nucleotide ribosomal RNA is filed under the name uncultured bacterium. RNAcentral's name for it is "partial 16S ribosomal RNA". It matches the Rfam family "Bacterial small subunit ribosomal RNA", at positions 524 to 776 of the family's 1533-position model. The record is from RNAcentral.